GGGAAAGCCGAGGCCCGGUGCUGUAUUCUGCCGCCCAUUUUACCCGCGGGGAAGCUGAGGCCCAGUGCUGUUUAAUAUCUUACUCAUGUUCACUUGAUGAGAAAGUGACAGAUCUGAGACAAACCCAGUUCUAGAGGUUAUGACACCAGCCAUGGAAGAGCAGAGAGGCCAAUGAGGUGGGGAGGUUGGAAACAAAAGGCCUUCUCCACCCCAGCUUGACCAACCCAAAAGCUGGAAGGCAAGGAAGACCUAGAUCGACAGAAAAGAAAUGAGUCAACGAUGGUGCAGAAAGGGACCAGCUUGACGAAGCUUCUGCUUUUGUGACUGUCUCCUAAUGUUUGAGAUUCCAAAUACGAUUUCUGUGGAGAAAACAAAAAAGGACUCUGUUUUUAAUUCAAAAGGGAGAAGUGAAAUUCUACCUCACUUUUUUAAAAGAAGAGCCUGGAAUUGGCCUAUCCGUCUUUUUCCCCGUUGGAUCACAGAGCAGAAAGGAAGGUGGGCGUUUGUGUUCUGGGUGUUGUCCACGCUGGACGUGCCAGCAUCUCCCACUGAGCCAGAUGUUCCAGGGCUAAGGCCAGUUUCAUUUGAAGGCACAGCCUUACUAUAUCAUGUGAGAAAACUGUGAUGCGGUCGACUGGCACCUAGCAUUGCCCCCAUCUGGAACAUCUGCAGCCUAGAUCUGUUCUGAUGAAGUAGAAGCCGCAGAUCUUAUCCUGAAACAGGCCAGGUGCAAGUGUCCUCUUAGAAGGGAUCAACCAUGGGAUGCGGCAUUAAGAGAAGAGAGAAGGACAUCCUUACAACUGUGCCUUUCUUUCAACUCAGUCGUGCGCAUUAGGCUUGUAUCAGUUAAAGUGCAGGCAAGAAAUUUCAAGCAGAAAGGGAGUCAGGUGCUCAUAGCAUUGCUGGCAGAAUUGAGAGCAGCGGGAGCCAUGGGAUGGGGGUGCUGCCUGGAAAUCAGGAAACUGGAGAAGCCUGCUGGAACCUGCUGAGGAACCCAUCACUGCAGCAAGAGACUGAUGGUGGACUGCAGGGGCCAGGAAGGUGCAGGAAGCCCCUGCUGCUGCAGGAGAAAGGAUGAAGGAUGGUUAUCUUCCACCUUCCAAAUCUCACAGGAACACCUCUUCUAGGUGGAAUCCAAACCAGAUUCCUUCUGGAAAGGGAUUCUGGAAAGUGUAGUUCUUAUGCUUCCAGCCUCUGAGAUAAGCAAGGACAAUUGCUGGAGGCGAGGGUGUCGCUGAAUACCAAGGAAGGAUAGCAGGUGUAGUUGCCCACAUGGCCACUCAGCAUCCACAUGGACAUCCCACCCAUGUUAAUUUCCAAAGAGCCAUCACAGAAACAUCAUCAUGCUUCCUCACAAAGAAGAAAUGCUCACCUCCACCCCAAUAGAAAGGGUCCAGGUAUCCAUCUCUGAGUGAUGGUCACCCUCCAUAUUCAGUAAAAAACACCCUCGGAUAGACUGUGGUUGAAAGACUAAACCUUUAGGUUAGCCACAGUCAAUAUAUCUUAUAUAAAAUAAGAGAGGCGGGGAGAGCAGGGGAAAGAGAUACUGGGUUAUGUGUGUAAAAACAUACACAAUAAAGCAAACAAGAAACGCUGUGU
RNAcentral lists this long non-coding RNA (1599 nucleotides) under Homo sapiens (human). Its description in RNAcentral is "MIR646 host gene". The record is from RNAcentral. Lineage: Eukaryota; Metazoa; Chordata; Mammalia; Primates; Hominidae.